RNAcentral lists this ribosomal RNA (171 nucleotides) under uncultured Clostridium sp. Its description in RNAcentral is "partial 16S ribosomal RNA". It matches the Rfam family "Bacterial small subunit ribosomal RNA", at positions 338 to 524 of the family's 1533-position model. The record is from RNAcentral. Lineage: Bacteria; Bacillati; Bacillota; Clostridia; Eubacteriales; Clostridiaceae.
CCUACGGGAGGCAGCAGUGGGGAAUAUUGCACAAUGGGGGAAACCCUGACGCAGCAACGCCGCGUGGAGGAAGAAGGUCUUCGGAUUGUAAACUCCUGUCUUCAGGGACGAAUUAAUGACGGUACCUGAGGAGGAAGCCACGGCUAACUACGUGCCAGCAGCCGCGGUAAU